Non-coding RNA from Sus scrofa (pig), 2094 nucleotides. NCBI's taxonomy places the organism in Eukaryota, Metazoa, Chordata, Mammalia, Artiodactyla, Suidae. The record is from RefSeq and is a predicted model, not a curated record.
GGUCCCUAGAGGCCGCGAUGCUCUUCACCGAGGGGGCGCUCAGAGUAGGCUGUUGGCCUCUUCACUGCCGACCCAACUUCACCCCACAGUAGACUUUGAUCCUUGACAAAUCUAGGAUAUGCAUAUUGCAGGUGUCCUAUAGGUUUUGCCAUCGGGUGGAACAGAACAAAUGUAGGUCUACUGGGUUCUUGGCACAGUACCAUAUGGACCUGGACAAAGCAUUUUUAAGGUGGAAAUUUUUAUUAUGCUAAUCAUUUCAAACAUUUGAGCAGUCUAGUUUUCCGGUAUUUUAUUCAAAUAACUAAAUGCAGGGUUCAUAUAGCGAGCAAUAUUUGUGGGAUAAUUUAUGAUCACUUUAAAUUAUUUCCUACCAAAUGUAAAGUUACAUCUCAAAUAGUUAACUUUUUUGGAGCACUGUGUUAAGUCCUGUAUGUACAUUAUCUCACUUAAUACUUACAGUAAUAUCAUGAAUUAGGUUGCUUAAACUUGCUCUUUCACAGACGUAUGAACAAGGCAAAGAGGGAUUAAGAUCCUUGCCCCUGGUCCCAAAAUUAGAGCUGUAUUCUAGAGCCUUUCCUUCCAUUAACUGCAGGCUUAGGUAGAAGAAUGAGAAUGGACUCAGAUCUGGACACAAGUCCUACCUACCCUGUUUUGUGAAUUAGGGCAAGUCAUUUAACCUCUCUGCAUUUCAUUUUCCUCUGCUGCCACAGAUGAACACUUUGAACUAUUACAUUUUAUUGAAUCAUGAAUCGUCAAAAAAUCCUUAAAAGAGCGCCUUCACCAUUAUCUGCCAGAUUUUCUUCCAUGCCCCCGACACUCAUUCCAUAAGUUUCGGUGCACAUAUGCAGGCAGCGAUAAUGCUACUGCCGCCUGGUCUGACCACACUGUAAGCUGUGACCAAUUUGAGAGAUGUCAAAAUGUAAAAUAAUAUGUGUCUUGGAAUAGAUGACAGGCAGUAGGUGAUCUCUGAGCUACUUUUCAACAACAACCCUAUGACAUCUGUGACUUUAUAACACUUUACUGCUAAUCUAUGUAUUUUUAAUGUAAAUGAUUCAAGGUAAAGCUUAAACUUCUUGAUAAUGGAAAAGUAAUAACCAUGCCUGGUUUUUUCACCUCUGAAUCCCCAGUACCUUGCCUGUAGUAAAUGUUCAAUAAGUGUUUGCUGAAUGAAUUAAGCAAAUCUUCACUUCAUAUUACAAACACAACUUUUUUAAAAAUUGUAUUUGACUUGAAUAUAACAUAUAAUAGUAUCAACAGUGCAAAAAUAUUUUGCUAGCAUUUUUUUGAAUGCAUAAAUGCACUGUUAAAAAACAGUGGUGAUUCUUUCCAAACAUCUUUCCUGCUCACUGUUGUUGAUUGUCAUCAAAUGUGGAGUACAUUUUAUUCCUUGAAGAGGAUGUUGAAAAUUGAAAUGUGGACAUAGAGACUUUUUAACAAGAUAUCAUAGAGGAAUCAUUUUAAUAAAAGUUGGAAAAUGUUAUUUUGAAAUCUCAUUACAUUUUUAUGAGUGUUCUGGAGGUGAUUAAGCAUAGUAUUUUCCAAAUGUACAAGUGUGUCUGAGUUAUGAAUGAUGAAAAUAACUAUAAUUGCAAGAUAUUUUGAAACUAUGCAAAUGGGCAGAAAAAGUGUUUUAAGUUUUGGGGUAGGCAAGUGUAAAAUAAUGAAACUAAAGAAAUUAUCCCAACCAUAUUUAUGGUGUGUCUUAUGAGGUCUGUACUUUCAGUUAGAACCAGGAAGAGGACACAGGAAUUACUAUAGAGUUAUAGAGACAUUUCUCUGGAGGUGAUCAGCUAAGUGUUAUGCUGUAGCCAGAAAAGCCAACAAGAUGUGAGGUAUCGUGAAAGGGAUGUGGGAAAAUCAGCAAACAGUAUCUUACCCUCAAGCAACACAAUGGUCUUUCUAAACAUGAGAUGCAAUUAUUUUACACUCAUGAAGGGUAGAUCCAGAAUGUUCAAAAUCUUUUCAAUUCUUAAAUAUGACUGUAGUUAUAAUUUUCCUCACAGAAUUCUGGAAAGCCUAUGUGCUUGUAUGCCUAACUUUUAUUUUAUUUUAUUUUUGUCUUUUUUUUUUUGCUAUUUCUUGGGCCGCUCCCAC